This 122-nucleotide small RNA is filed under the name Mytilus galloprovincialis (Mediterranean mussel). Lineage: Eukaryota; Metazoa; Mollusca; Bivalvia; Mytilida; Mytilidae. The record is from RNAcentral.
UUGUUUUAGAUUUAUGAGUUUGACUGUCCCUUUGGUAUCUUUUUAUAAUGAUUAUUAAGGCAGAACAACGCUACAAAAGAGGGACGAAAGAUACCAAAGGGACAGUCAAACUCAUAAAUCUA